UUCACACAAAGAUGCAUAGAAUCAAGCAUCAGGAGGAAGCGAGUCAUUGACGCCAGUCUGCUAAAGGGGUAAGUCUGUCCAGCAGCGGUAGCCGGGAGAGGACAGGGAGUGGCCCAUGAUGGCGUCGCCCGGGGUAGAACAGGGAGUGGGCCAUGAUGGAGUCGCCCGGGGAAGGCCGUGCUCACUGGCUGACCCGCAGCAGUUCUUCACUGGCAAGCUUUAUGUUCUUGUGUACCAGCUAAAGCUGCCAGCUGAAGAACUGUUGUGGUUGGCUCUUUCCCUGCACACCCUCCCCUCCCACUCCAACCCCCCCACCACCACCACCAGUGCCCCCGGUGCCCCACUCUGCUGCAGAGAGCUGGAGGAGUGAGAGGCUCCAGGCCUUGGGGGAAAUGGAGCUGCAGCUGAAGAGUAGGGCUGCUCUCUGCUCGCUGAGCCUCGAUCAGACCUGACAUCAGACACAACCCAUCCAUCUCUCCCACCCACCCCUCUCUCUCUCUCUCUCUCUCUCUCUCUCUCUCUCUCUCUCUCUCUCUCUCUCCUCUACCCACCCUGCCCUCCUCACUCACGCUGGCCUGGCCAUCUCUCUAACUGGCUGAGCAUUUUUGCUCGGGCAUAAACAAAGGCAACUGGGCAGGGCCCGUGCUGACUCAGCCACAUUCCACACCCUGGUCACGUCCUCCCACCCUGCCCUUAUUUGGGCGCGGAGUAGGGCAGGGGGCUGCAUGAUGCUUUUACAAUGCAAACAGGAACCGGCAGCCUCCAUACAUCUCUGUCUCCUUCCCUCUCUCUCUGUCGCUCGCUCGCUCGCUUGCUCGCUCUCUCUCUCGCUCCCUCCCUCUCUGUCUCUCUCUCUCUCUCUCUCUAGCUCUCUCUGUCCCUCCCCCUCUCUGCUCUCCUUUCGCCUCGUCUCUCUUCUCUGGCUCAUGGAGGAAGAGACGAGGAUUAGGCGACUCCUUCACUAGCUCUCUUCCUCUUCCUCCCCCCUCUGUCCCCCUGGGCCUCAGACAGUGACUGUGACAUGUGUUUCUGUUUAUUAGUUAAGUCACAGCGUUCUGCCAGAAAGUCGAUGAAAAACACUGGCUGGACAUGGAACCAAAGCCCAAAUUCUCUUUUUUGUAAUUUUCAUUGUUUUAUUUAAUUUUUUUGUUUUGUUCUCCUGCCUUGUGGUCUGAAUGCCUUUGUUGUUUUUUUGUUGUUGUUGUGGAGUUUUGUUUGUUCAGGCUGAAUGUGCCGUGUGCCCCUGAAACAGCCGUCAUAGUUCGGCGCGCUCGCACACACACACACGCGCACACACACACGUUCAUGCCACAGAGGCCGACCGGCCCUCGAACGCGUCGUAAAUCGCACUUCAAGGGCAAAAGCCGGCGCCGAAAACAGGAUAUGAAAAAGUGGCCUGCUGGAAAGUGCCAAGCCAGAUGAACACAAAGGUAGGGAAUGUUCUCGCUAGAUACCAGAUGCCCCGCUGGAACCCAGUCAAGGAAAGAGCCAGACUUUGACUUAAAUUGACUGGACAUUGAAUGGACAAAGUAGUUCUGUAGGUGUGAGUACUAGCCACGAGUACAGUGUAGUCAAAGAAUCUUUUCUCCAAAGAAAAGAUGCACAAAUGAUCUCUUAAAAUCAUUUAGCUCGCCCUUUCUUUGUUUCUUUAUUCUUCCUUUUUUCCCUUUCUCUUCUCUCCCCCCCCCCCCCCCCCCACACACACAAACAUGUCCAUAUACUCACACACAAUGUCUACAGGAUUACACCCCUCUUAGAUCUUCUCUCUGUAAGACAUCCUACUUUGCUCAUGUAACAGAGCUGCUCUCCAAAGGCCACACUCUGACCCCUGCGUGGGGUUUUCUGCGGUCAUGCGCUAAGGUGGACUACCUGAUCGGCUCUAGGCGGCAGGCAAUCUGGCUCCAAGUACAUUAAAAGAUUGCAGAGGGUCCUCUCGGCUCAAGAAGCCUGUCUUGGCAAAGGUUCCCAUGGUGUCUGUGUGCUAGACCCCAGUUUGCAUUUAUGUUCUUUUCUAUUUUAAACUGAAUUUGUGUAUAUUGUUUAAACUGUAAGCUAUGUGUACAUGUAUGUAUUAUGUAGCUAUUAGCAUGUGAUAGUGUGUCCUUGAGUAUCCUCAUAGACUCUACCUGCUUACCUGGUGCAGUCUGCCAAGAGGCUCAAGAGGUGAGACAGAUCAACUUCUCAGAGAUCACAUCCCUGUCUCACACACACAGACACACACACACACACACACACACACACACACGCGUGCGCACAGACACACACACACACACACACACACUCACUCACUUGCCCUCUGUGAUUUGAUAACUGGGUGAAGGGUCACAUGCAGGAAGUCUUUGCUUUGUCAUCUAUAGCUGUGCCAGUGACCAUAUUUUUGAAUUAUCAGUUCAAUAAAGUGUGAGAUAAUCAA
This is a long non-coding RNA of Clupea harengus (Atlantic herring), 2413 nucleotides long. RefSeq lists it as uncharacterized. Lineage: Eukaryota; Metazoa; Chordata; Actinopteri; Clupeiformes; Clupeidae. The record is from RefSeq and is a predicted model, not a curated record.